GACGAACGCUGGCGGCGUGCUUAACACAUGCAAGUCGAACGGAAAGGCCCUGCUUGCAGGGUACUCGAGUGGCGAACGGGUGAGUAACACGUGGGUGAUCUGCCCUGCACUUCGGGAUAAGCUUGGGAAACUGGGUCUAAUACCGGAUAGGAACCAUCUUUAGUGUGGUGGUUGGAAAGUUUUUUCGGUGUAGGAUGAGCUCGCGGCCUAUCAGCUUGUUGGUGGGGUAAUGGCCUACCAAGGCGGCGACGGGUAGCCGGCCUGAGAGGGUGCACGGCCACAUUGGGACUGAGAUACGGCCCAGACUCCUACGGGAGGCAGCAGUGGGGAAUAUUGCACAAUGGGCGCAAGCCUGAUGCAGCGACGCCGCGUGGGGGAUGAAGGCCUUCGGGUUGUAAACUCCUUUCGCUAGGGACGAAGCUUUGUUGUGACGGUACCUAGAGAAGAAGCACCGGCUAACUACGUG
This 466-nucleotide ribosomal RNA is filed under the name uncultured bacterium. RNAcentral's name for it is "partial 16S ribosomal RNA". It matches the Rfam family "Bacterial small subunit ribosomal RNA", at positions 28 to 507 of the family's 1533-position model. The record is from RNAcentral.